GACGAACGCUGGCGGCGUGCUUAACACAUGCAAGUGGAGCGACGAACCGGGCUUCGGCCCGGGGCAAAGCCGCGAACGGGUGAGUAACACGUGGGUAACCUGCCCCAAAGACCGGGACAACCCGAGGAAACUCGGGCUAAUACCGGAUGUGUUCACUGUCCACAAGGACAGUGAGGAAAGGAAGCUUCGGCCUCCGCUUUGGGAUGGGCCCGCGGCCCAUUAGCUUGUUGGUGAGGUAACGGCUCAACAAGGCUGCGAUGGGUAGCUGGUCUGAGAGGACGGUCGGCCAGACUGGGAGUGAGAGACGGCCCAGACUCCUACGGGAGGCAGCAGUGGGGAAUCUUGCGCAAUGCGCGACAGCGUGGCGCAGCAACGCCGCGUGGGGGAAGAAGGCCUUCGGGUUGUAAACCUCUUUCAGGAGGGGCGAAGCUCCGGCAGCGAAUAGCUGUCCGGAGUGACGGUACCUCCACAAGAAGCCCCGGCUAACUACGUGCCAGCCGCCGCCGUAA
Molecule: ribosomal RNA, 509 nt
Filed under: uncultured bacterium
Lineage: Bacteria
Description: partial 16S ribosomal RNA
Rfam family: Bacterial small subunit ribosomal RNA
Source: RNAcentral